Molecule: ribosomal RNA, 769 nt
Filed under: uncultured Pseudoalteromonadaceae bacterium
Lineage: Bacteria; Pseudomonadati; Pseudomonadota; Gammaproteobacteria; Alteromonadales; Pseudoalteromonadaceae
Description: bacterial SSU rRNA
Rfam family: Bacterial small subunit ribosomal RNA
Source: RNAcentral
AUUGAACGCUGGCGGCAGGCCUAACACAUGCAAGUCGAGCGGAAACGAGUUAUCUGAACCUUCGGGGAAUGAUAACGGCGUCGAGCGGCGGACGGGUGAGUAAUGCCUAGGAAAUUGCCCUGAUGUGGGGGAUAACCAUUGGAAACGAUGGCUAAUACCGCAUGAUGCCUACGGGCCAAAGAGGGGGACCUUCGGGCCUCUCGCGUCAGGAUAUGCCUAGGUGGGAUUAGCUAGUUGGUGAGGUAAGGGCUCACCAAGGCAACGAUCCCUAGCUGGUCUGAGAGGAUGAUCAGCCACACUGGAACUGAGACACGGUCCAGACUCCUACGGGAGGCAGCAGUGGGGAAUAUUGCACAAUGGGCGCAAGCCUGAUGCAGCCAUGCCGCGUGUAUGAAGAAGGCCUUCGGGUUGUAAAGUACUUUCAGCAGUGAGGAAGGCGGGUACGUUAAUAGCGUGCUCGUUUGACGUUAGCUGCAGAAGAAGCACCGGCUAACUCCGUGCCAGCAGCCGCGGUAAUACGGAGGGUGCGAGCGUUAAUCGGAAUUACUGGGCGUAAAGCGCAUGCAGGUGGUUUGUUAAGUCAGAUGUGAAAGCCCGGGGCUCAACCUCGGAAUAGCAUUUGAAACUGGCAGACUAGAGUACUGUAGAGGGGGGUAGAAUUUCAGGUGUAGCGGUGAAAUGCGUAGAGAUCUGAAGGAAUACCGGUGGCGAAGGCGGCCCCCUGGACAGAUACUGACACUCAGAUGCGAAAGCGUGGGGAGCAAACAGG